GAAGAACGUGGGGCCAUCUGGGGUCACCAUUGUUAUCAUCAGGAAAGAUCUGAUCGGUGGAGCUCAAGACAGUACUCCCGUGAUGUUGGAUUACAAGAUCCACCAUGAAAACAAUUCGCUCUACAACACCCCACCCUGUUAUGGAAUCUACAUGUGUGGAUUAGUGUUUGAGGAUCUGCUGGAACAGGGGGGGCUAAAGGAGGUGGAGAAGAAGAACAAGAACAAGGCCGAGAUUCUCUACGAAGCGAUCGACCAAAGCAACGGAUUCUACCGGUGCCCUGUUGAGCGUUCGGUGAGGUCAUUGAUGAAUGUACCAUUUACUCUGGAGAAGGCAGAGCUGGAAGGUGAGUUUGUGAAGGAAGCAGCGAAAGAGAAGAUGGUUCAGCUGAAGGGGCAUAGAUCAGUGGGAGGAAUGAGAGCAUCUAUAUACAAUGCAAUGCCAUUGGCUGGAGUGGAGAAAUUGGUUGCUUUCAUGAAGGAUUUCCAGGCAAGGCAUGCUUGAUUUGAUUAUCAUAAUAUGAUAAUGUAAUUUGCAGCUAUAAUAUUUUUCAGCUCUCAAGUGAAAAGUCAAGGCAGAGCAUCAUCAUCAUAUUCUGUUGUAUCGUUUUGGG
This 611-nucleotide unclassified non-coding RNA is filed under the name Hevea brasiliensis (rubber tree). Lineage: Eukaryota; Viridiplantae; Streptophyta; Magnoliopsida; Malpighiales; Euphorbiaceae. The record is from RNAcentral.